ACAGAAACCUCUCGCUUCUGCCAAAAAAUGUCCCAAACAAUGGAACCUCGUCGACAAGUACAACCUUGGAUCCUCCGACAAAGGAAGAACCAUCUACCACAAGACAUCGUACUCAACAUUCAGGUGCAAUGAGCGCAUACAACUUGCUCGGCCAGCAUGGCUAGAUCAUCCAAUGGUGCCACAAUUGAGUUAUCUGAGGUAUCUUGAAUCCCAGCUUCAGAUAUAUCUCCAGAUCCUUGAGUCUCUAAGCCUUGUUGAUUCCGAGUUUGAAGAAUCGAUCCAGAUGCUCUAAUGGAGUGUUCAAGUUAGAUAGGAUUUCCAGGGUGUUGCAGUCAACCAUACGAAAUUCACAGCACACCAUACCAAGAGGUGGCCAGAAUUAAGUAAUAGGAACUUGUGCCAAUACAGAUAAUUGUACCUGCCCAGAAACUGAAGCUGAAGGCAGCGGCAUUAUAGCAGCCCCUCCUCCAACUGGUGUAGUUGAUGUAGUUGUAGUUGUUGCAGGACCAUGUGGUGGGGUGUGCCUGCCACCAUCUCCUCCUCUAUAUGAAGAUUUCCAGAUCUAGGAUUUGAGGAUCGAAUGGACUGUGUAAUAUUGAAUUUGUUAAAUGUUUUA
Long non-coding RNA from Quercus robur (English oak), 616 nucleotides. RefSeq lists it as uncharacterized. The record is from RefSeq and is a predicted model, not a curated record. The transcript has 4 exons. NCBI's taxonomy places the organism in Eukaryota, Viridiplantae, Streptophyta, Magnoliopsida, Fagales, Fagaceae.